GAAAUUGGUGACCUCACCCUGAACAAGCCCGAUCCUGUCUGAUCUUGGAAGCUAAGCAGAGUCUGGCCUGGUUAGUACUUGGAUAGGAGAACACCUAGGAAGACCAGGUGCUCU
RNAcentral lists this ribosomal RNA (114 nucleotides) under Pteropus alecto (black flying fox). Lineage: Eukaryota; Metazoa; Chordata; Mammalia; Chiroptera; Pteropodidae. The record is from RNAcentral. RNAcentral also lists the same sequence under 1 other name.